Molecule: ribosomal RNA, 468 nt
Filed under: uncultured bacterium
Lineage: Bacteria
Description: partial 16S ribosomal RNA
Rfam family: Bacterial small subunit ribosomal RNA
Source: RNAcentral
GACGAACGCUGGCGGCGUGCUUAACACAUGCAAGUCGAACGGAAAGGCCCUGCUUUUGUGGGGUGCUCGAGUGGCGAACGGGUGAGUAACACGUGAGUAACCUGCCCUUGACUUUGGGAUAACUUCAGGAAACUGGGGCUAAUACCGGAUAGGAGCUCCUGCUGCAUGGUGGGGGUUGGAAAGUUUCGGCGGUUGGGGAUGGACUCGCGGCUUAUCAGCUUGUUGGUGGGGUAGUGGCUUACCAAGGCUUUGACGGGUAGCCGGCCUGAGAGGGUGACCGGCCACAUUAGGACUGAGGUACGGCCCAGACUCCUACGGGAGGCAGCAGUCGGGAAUAUUGCAAAAUGGGCGGAAGCCUGAUGCAGCAACGCCGCGUGCGGGAUGACGGCCUUCGGGUUGUAAACCGAUUUCGCCUGUGACGAAGCGUGAGUGACGGUAAUGGGUAAAGAAGCACCGGCUAGCUACGUG